GAUCAUGGCUCAGGACGAACGCUGGCGGCGCGCCUAACACAUGCAAGUCGAACGGGAGAGAAGGAGCUUGCUUCUUCGAUCGAGUGGCGAACGGGUGAGUAACGCGUGAGGAACCUGCCUCAAAGAGGGGGACAACAGUUGGAAACGACUGCUAAUACCGCAUAAGCCCACGGGUCGGCAUCGAUCUGAGGGAAAAGGAGCAAUCCGCUUUGAGAUGGCCUCGCGUCCGAUUAG
This 234-nucleotide ribosomal RNA is filed under the name uncultured bacterium. RNAcentral's name for it is "partial 16S ribosomal RNA". It matches the Rfam family "Bacterial small subunit ribosomal RNA", at positions 15 to 244 of the family's 1533-position model. The record is from RNAcentral.